CCUUGACAUACUAAGAACUUUCCAGAGAUGGAUUGGUGCCUUCGGGAACUUAGAUACAGGUGCUGCAUGGCUGUCGUCAGCUCGUGUCGUGAGAUGUUGGGUUAAGUCCCGNAACGAGCGCAACCCUUUUCCUUAUUUGCCAGCGGGUCAUGCCGGGAACUUUAAGGAUACUGCCAGUGACAAACUGGAGGAAGGCGGGGACGACGUCAAGUCAUCAUGGCCCUUACGGCCAGGGCUACACACGUGCUACAAUGGUCGGUACAAAGGGUUGCUACCUCGCGAGAGGAUGCUAAUCUCAAAAAGCCGAUCGUAGUCCGGAUCGCAGUCUGCAACUCGACUGCGUGAAGUCGGAAUCGCUAGUAAUCGCGGAUCAGGAUGCCGCGGUGAAUACGUUCCCGGGCCUUGUACACACCGCCCGUCACACCAUGGGAGUUUGUUGCACCAGAAGUAGGUGGUCUAACCGCAAGGAGGACGCUUACCACGGUGUGGCCGAUGACUGGGGUGAAGUCGUAACAAGGUAGGCGUAGAUGA
RNAcentral lists this ribosomal RNA (531 nucleotides) under uncultured bacterium. RNAcentral's name for it is "bacterial SSU rRNA". It matches the Rfam family "Bacterial small subunit ribosomal RNA", at positions 979 to 1509 of the family's 1533-position model. The record is from RNAcentral.